RNAcentral lists this ribosomal RNA (468 nucleotides) under uncultured bacterium. Its description in RNAcentral is "partial 16S ribosomal RNA". It matches the Rfam family "Bacterial small subunit ribosomal RNA", at positions 28 to 507 of the family's 1533-position model. The record is from RNAcentral.
GACGAACGCUGGCGGCGUGCUUAACACAUGCAAGUCGAACGGAAAGGCCCUGCUUUUGUGGGGUGCUCGAGUGGCGAACGGGUGAGUAACACGUGAGUAACCUGCCCUUGACUUUGGGAUAACUUCAGGAAACUGGGGCUAAUACCGGAUAGGAGCUCCUGCUGCAUGGUGGGGGUUGGAAAGUUUCGGCGGUUGGGGAUGGACUCGCGGCUUAUCAGCUUGUUGGUGGGGUAGUGGCUUACCAAGGCUUUGACGGGUAGCCGGCCUGAGAGGGUGACCGGCCACCUUGGGCCUGCGGUACGGCCCAGACUCCUACGGGAGGCAGCAGUGGCGAAUCUUGCACAAUGGGCGGGAGCCUGAUGCAGCGACGCCGCGUGCGUGAUGACGGCCUUCGGGUUGUAAACCGCUUUCGCCUGUGACGAAGCGUGAGUGACGGUAAUGGGUAAAGAAGCACCGGCUAACUACGUG